CUCCGCUUGGUGUAGUUGGUUGAUCACGUUCGACUGUAAUAUCAAAUAAAUUGUUAUCGAAAGGUCGCUAGUUCGAUUCUGGCAGCGGAGA
This 91-nucleotide transfer RNA is filed under the name Plenodomus lingam JN3. RNAcentral describes it as "tRNA-Tyr for anticodon GUA". It matches the Rfam family "tRNA". Rfam says of the family: Transfer RNA (tRNA) molecules are approximately 80 nucleotides in length. Their secondary structure includes four short double-helical elements and three loops (D, anti-codon, and T loops). Further hydrogen bonds mediate the characteristic L-shaped molecular structure. tRNAs have two regions of fundamental functional importance: the anti-codon, which is responsible for specific mRNA codon recognition, and the 3' end, to which the tRNAs corresponding amino acid is attached (by aminoacyl-tRNA synthetases). tRNAs cope with the degeneracy of the genetic code in two manners: having more than one tRNA (with a specific anti-codon) for a particular amino acid; and 'wobble' base-pairing, i.e. permitting non-standard base-pairing at the 3rd anti-codon position. The record is from Rfam by way of RNAcentral. Lineage: Eukaryota; Fungi; Ascomycota; Dothideomycetes; Pleosporales; Leptosphaeriaceae.